Molecule: ribosomal RNA, 615 nt
Filed under: Triticum aestivum (bread wheat)
Lineage: Eukaryota; Viridiplantae; Streptophyta; Magnoliopsida; Poales; Poaceae
Description: partial small subunit ribosomal RNA
Source: RNAcentral
UGUUUACAGGAAACAAAACUUCAGGAAAUAUCAUCUUUCAAAGCAAUCUCUUUCCUUCCUCUCGGUCUUCGAUCUUAUCAUUUUCUGCCUUCUAUUGGUGCCUCUGGUGGGGUCCUAACUGCGUGGGAUGACGCAAAUCUUGAAUGCACUAAAGUUCAGAUUGAUCGCUACGCUAUCUCUUGUUGGUUUUCCUUUCGUGCGAAUGACACUUCCUUUGUGGUGACAAAUGUGUACGGACCUUGUGACCAUGCUACUAAAUCAGAUUUUCUAGACUCUCUCAUUCCGCUGUCUCAAAUGAUUAAUUGUCCUUGGACGAUUAUGGGGGACUUUAACCUUGUUUUAAGACCGUCCGACAAAUCUUCAGCUAAUUUCAACGCUAAUGAAGCCAGCAUUUUCGCUUCUGCAAUCAACUCCUUGCACCUGCAGGAAGUUCCUCUCUUAGAUAGGCUCUACACUUGGUCCAAUCAACAGGACAACCCGAUCCUUCUUCGCUUAGACAGAACUUUUGUAAACUUAAAUUGGAGCAAUCUGUUCCCUGACUCAACUCUCUCAUCCCUUGCACGCACUACCUCCGACCAUGUUCCCAUCCUUCUGACGGCUACCACCGAUAUCCCC